This 70-nucleotide transfer RNA is filed under the name Stenodactylus petrii. RNAcentral's name for it is "tRNA-Leu". Lineage: Eukaryota; Metazoa; Chordata; Lepidosauria; Squamata; Gekkonidae. The record is from RNAcentral.
CUUAGGGCACAAGACCAGGAUUGAUACAUGUCCUAAAGCUUCAACAAAAGUUCAGCACUUUUCCCUAAUA